This 400-nucleotide ribosomal RNA is filed under the name uncultured bacterium. RNAcentral describes it as "partial 16S ribosomal RNA". It matches the Rfam family "Bacterial small subunit ribosomal RNA", at positions 360 to 776 of the family's 1533-position model. The record is from RNAcentral.
AAUAUUGCCCAAUGGGGGAAACCCUGAGGCAGCAACGCCGCGCGGAGGAAGAAGGUCUUAGGAAUGUAACCUCCUUUUCUGGGGGAAGAGCAAGGACGGUACCCCAGGAAUAAGUCUCGCCUCACUACGUGCCAGCAGCCGCGGUAAUACGUAGGUGGCGAGCGUUAUCCGGAAUUACUGGGCGUAAAGCGUCCGCAGGCGGCUUGUUAAGUCUGCUGUGAAAGCUCCUGGCUUAACUGGGGGAGGUCAGUGGAAACUGGCAGGCUUGAGGCGAUGAGAGGGGUGUGGAAUUCCCGGUGUAGUGGUGGAGUGCGUAGAGAUCGGGAGGAACACCAGUGGCGAAGGCGGAUUGCUGGGUCUUAACUGACGCUGAGGCGCGAAAGCGUGGGGAGCAAACAGG